This 299-nucleotide unclassified non-coding RNA is filed under the name Hevea brasiliensis (rubber tree). The record is from RNAcentral. Lineage: Eukaryota; Viridiplantae; Streptophyta; Magnoliopsida; Malpighiales; Euphorbiaceae.
UCUAGACUCGUCCGUCAAACGAUUCUUGAUCGAAUUUAUAACUCCACCUCGCCCUACGACAAUUUCCCUCCAGCGCAUGUCAGAAGUCUCCUUCGAGGCAAAAGAUUGAAGGGUUGGGGAUCAUAUGGCGCUGUUUUCGAACACCUCAUCCAAAGAGUGAAGCCUCAGGUGAUCAUAGAGGUCGGCACUUUCUUGGGCGCGUCGGCACUCCACAUGGCCGAGUUGACCCGUAAACUCGGACUUAACUCGCAUAUUCUCUGCAUUGACGAUUUUCGUGGGUGGCCAGGGUUUCGUGACCG